GAGGCAGUAGCUCAGUCUUAGAGCUCCCGCCUCGUAGGUGGGAGACCUGGGUUCGACCCCAACAGCUUCC
This 70-nucleotide transfer RNA is filed under the name Toxocara canis (dog roundworm). It matches the Rfam family "tRNA". Rfam says of the family: Transfer RNA (tRNA) molecules are approximately 80 nucleotides in length. Their secondary structure includes four short double-helical elements and three loops (D, anti-codon, and T loops). Further hydrogen bonds mediate the characteristic L-shaped molecular structure. tRNAs have two regions of fundamental functional importance: the anti-codon, which is responsible for specific mRNA codon recognition, and the 3' end, to which the tRNAs corresponding amino acid is attached (by aminoacyl-tRNA synthetases). tRNAs cope with the degeneracy of the genetic code in two manners: having more than one tRNA (with a specific anti-codon) for a particular amino acid; and 'wobble' base-pairing, i.e. permitting non-standard base-pairing at the 3rd anti-codon position. Lineage: Eukaryota; Metazoa; Nematoda; Chromadorea; Rhabditida; Toxocaridae. The record is from Rfam by way of RNAcentral.